Molecule: long non-coding RNA, 1453 nt
Filed under: Linum usitatissimum (flax)
Lineage: Eukaryota; Viridiplantae; Streptophyta; Magnoliopsida; Malpighiales; Linaceae
Description: long non-coding RNA (LUSI_LNC004990)
Source: RNAcentral
UGGCAUCUCCAUGUCAACUUCGGUGGGGUGAAUACCAAUACAAUUUGUACUUACUUUCUGUUUUAUACUGACAAAGUUAACAAAUCACAAGCAUACAACGUUACCAAUUGGACUCUUUUUUGGUGAAGUCAUUAACAAGACACAGCCGUUACCAACGAACACCGAAUGAGAUUCACAUUCUAAAACAAUGCAUGUAAGAUUGCAGUACCAGAAAAUCACCCGCUUGUUUGUGGUCUGUGGAAGUAGUAACUCUGCGGUCAAACUUAAUUACUCAGUUCUGAAUACGACCCUCUGACCCUGACUGAAUUCUUCAGUAGCAUCGCAGGCCUGGGAACAAAACAAACCAAUAAAUUCUCACGCCAGCCAACAUCUCAAAGCAAAAUAGUAACUCAUUGCAUUGGAUUCUUGGAACACUUGUCCGUGAGUCUUAAAUGAUUUGCCUCCGUUUCCAAUGAACCCCCCUUUAUUUUUCUCUCUUUCACUUCAGACCCCUGUGCGUUACUUUUUUAAUUUCUCCUUAAUUUUAAACUUCAAACCCCGGGUCUUCACCUUCAACCAGAAGAAAAUAAAGCAAAAAAAAAGCCAACACCGACAGACCAUGCGAUAUAGCGAAUCUCUGCUGCAAUACUCUUUGCUCUUUAUGUUGACUCUUUUCUUUAUUUACUUCCCUUUUUACCCCACUACUUGAUUGCACCGGCCCAAGCCCAAGCCCAUUCUUUCUUUAUUAGCUGCAAUUAAUCCCAUCCAGAACUGAAUUAGCUGGAAAUUAAAAGUAGUAAUUACAACGUGAUGGCCAUUUUACCAAAAUGCCAAGCAAACACAAACAGUCAGCUAAAGAUGAGGACUGGCCAUAUCUGUAAAUAUGGCAGCAGCAGCAGCAGCAGCAGCAAAAUGAUCAAUUCUUUACCUUAAACAAAAGAAACAAACGUUUUAAGUUUUGACUUUAACCCUUUAGUUUUUGCCGUUUUUCUGUCUUAAAUUCAGAAAAAUGCAGGGAAUUUACCAUUCUAUCCAGACCAACUCACGCGUCUCGCUCCAAUUGGUAGAAAUCCCCCAUUAAAGUAGAAAAACCCGCGACUCCACAGCCCCGUACGCUACACGCCAAACCACUCUAUCAUUCAGCUACCCUCCAAUUCCUCCCACAAAGCUCCCCCCCCUUUCUUCCUCCAGCCAGCGCUGUCGAAAAGAAAAACCCACCAUAGCCAGCCUAGCCCAACGAAUCUGAAUCAAUGGCUGCCUUAUAGUUCUCCAUAACCGUUCCCAUUUCUGAGCCUUUCCUUUUCUCUCUCUGUCUUUCCCAUUCUUUCUUUCCUGACAGCCAAAAUGAAGCCUUGGUUGCUUUUUUUCUUCCUUUUGUCGGCGGCGGCGGUGAUGGUGGCGGUGGAUUCAGAUCUCGAAUCCGACAGGGCGGCGCUGGUGAACCUCCGGAACACCGUCGGUGGUAGAUCUCUGU